This 1865-nucleotide long non-coding RNA is filed under the name Mytilus galloprovincialis (Mediterranean mussel). Lineage: Eukaryota; Metazoa; Mollusca; Bivalvia; Mytilida; Mytilidae. The record is from RNAcentral.
UAUUCUCUUUUCUUCAUACAGAACAAAGUUAUAUAAAUUACAAGGAAAUUAAACCAAUGUUCAUCAAGUAAUGAAAAAAUAACAUGCAUUUCAAAACAUUAAGGUACAACACAAAAAUGUUAAAUUUUAGAUCUCAAAACAGAACAUUUUUUUUUAAAUGAUCGAAAUACUUUAAUUUUUAACUGAAGGGAUAAAUUCACAACAGUAGACAGUUGCUAUGAAAAGUAAAUAGUAAGCAGGUGGUCUUGGGUGGCUGCACGCCCCCAGAAGAUGAUUAUUUAUAGUAAAAAAUUCUUAUUGAAACAAGAUGUUGUUUUUAAAUUGUUUUUAAGCUCAUGCCUACAAAGCUACUACACUGGUAGACAAAAAUUAAAGCUAUAAAGCUUUUUGCACAGAAUUUUUAAUGAGGGUCAGGUGUCACAAUAUACAUGCAUAUAAGGAAUAGAUUAUUCUUAAAUCAUUAAACAAUUUACCCUGACAAUACACUCUCUUUAAAAUAAAAUUUAUUUUAUCUUGAAAAUUGAGCAAAUAAAACAUAAAUAGACAUCUAUAAACCGCUGUUGGAGAAGACAAACAAUAUUUAAAGAAAAGACUAGGGUUAACUGCCAAACAUUUUAAAUCUGGUUACAUGCACAUAAAGAGGACCUUUAGGAUGAGCAUUAACAUAAUGGAAAAUAAACAUUCUAGUAAAGAUAAACUGCUGGAGAUGUACAGACAAACUAUGUAUAGACAGGGGUAAAACAAUAUGUUUGUUGCAUGGGCCCAAAACAAAUAAAAUAAACAUGAACUUUCUAAAAGUGGCUCAAGACUGUCCCUAAAUCUAUGGAAAGUAUUUUUGAACAAGUAAAAGAGGAUUUUCAUUUACUGAUGGUAUGUACAUGGUGAUUAGCAGAUAUGCUGUAAAGAUGUCAUACAAAAGCAAUAAGCAAGCUGAAAUAACAAAUUAUACCGGUAUACUAUAUAGCUUAUUAAACAAAUCAACAAUAUAUAUUUGUAGUAAAUAAAUAAAUAUAUUUCUUUAUAAACAACAUAAACAAAAUCCUCUGUAAAGGAAGACUGAGGUAUUUCAUACUCAUUUAUAAGUUAAACCAUUAACUACCAUGUCAUUUCACAUAAACUCAGGACCAUCGGAAAUGUCUUGUUCUAAACAAAAAUCAAAUUGAAAAUUUUGGAAAGGGGUAGGGGUUCUGAUAUACCAGCAGGGCAUCCAAGCAAAGUUCCCAAAUCCUGGUUUAUGGUUAUAAACUUCAUGAUAAUGCCAAUUUUUCACAGGUACAAUAUGCUAAUGCAGGGCAAUUCAAGGGAGUUUUUGGAAAGUUCAAUUCAAUUUAGACCCACCAGUAAUAAGGUAUUAAAAGAAAACUAUUCAAAGACUUAAUUUUUAAAUAUAAAACCUACCCCCACAUAUAGUAACUGUUUUUUUCACUCCCAAGACAUACACAGUAACAUGCCUCACCCUUAUCUUCUAGUGUGUAUAAUUCUUGUGUUACUAUUAAACAACAUUCAGAUCAUGCAUGGAAAGUUAAUUUCCAUCAUUUAAAAGUGUUAGGUAAGAAAAUGUAAAACAUGUAAUGUGACCACAGGCACUUGUCUCAGAAUUUUUUCCCCCUAUAUACCUUUAAAAUAUAAUAUGUUAUAUUAAGGUAUGUAGGGGGGGAAAAUCUGAGACAAGUGCAUGUGAAUGUGACUUUGAAAUACUUCAGUCUUAUAUUCACACAAACUACAUAACAAUGAAAAACACAACCCUUCUUUGGUAAAUACACAAGAAAUUCAAUAAACAAUUUUACUAAUAUGCAUACAUUUUUACAAAUGACUAUUCAAAUACAUAUAGUGAGAAUUUAUACUUAUACAAAUCUAUAUCAACA